Anguilla anguilla (European eel) is the source of this 2436-nucleotide long non-coding RNA. RefSeq lists it as uncharacterized. The record is from RefSeq and is a predicted model, not a curated record. The transcript is spliced from 2 exons. NCBI's taxonomy places the organism in Eukaryota, Metazoa, Chordata, Actinopteri, Anguilliformes, Anguillidae.
CCGGAAGUAAACCUGUGGUGCGCUUGUUGAGGACAGAACAUUGAAGCUCCCCUUGAACUGAAUGGGAAUAUCAGACCUCUGAAGUCAAAAUGAAACGUUCUCGAUGGUAUUUUGAAACUUGAGUGAUUACCGUUUCAUAUGGAAAGCAUAUAGAAAAAUAUGCAUUAUGUAAUAAAAUAUGCACAUUUUAAUAAAUAUUUUCCCAAGACUACUGGACCAAAAUAAUGACGCACAUAAUGCACUUUAUGAUAACAAAAAAUGGACCGAUGAGGUUUUCUUUGGUUGUUAAAUCACCUUGGAUUUCUACAUUGAAUUCAACGGCCAGGAAGCGCUUUUGCCCUCAAGUAUGCAGAGUAGAGGCUGUUUCCCUGCUACUUCCUAGGCUUCACUGCCCCUCCUACCCUCUCCAGUUUCUAUGUACACUUUAUGGUUCAAUGAACCAACCUUAUUCCCUAUAUGAUACUGGGCAAUUACGCUACUCAAGUAAGUAAGGUAAGGUAAUCUUUAUUAUCCCUGAGGGGCAAUUUGUUGCACAGCCAGCAGUAAAUACAAUCAUCAUCAAGAAAGAUGUGUUCCUAGCCAGUUAUGGUAAUGUAUGGGUAAAUAGUAUUAUACUUGCAUAAGAUGUAUUCCAGACAGUAUCACCAUAUGAUCUUUCUUUUACCUGUCACCAAUUACAAUUCAUAUAUUUCUGAUUUGACAAUAAGUAUCCAGAAGGACAGAAAGAAACCAGAGUUUCUGUGUUGACAGUUGACUGUGGCUUUAAUGGUGUUGGAGGUCAACAGUCCUAGAGUUUAUUUACCUUCUGUGAAUGUCACCAUAGUGUGUGAAAUAAAUAUUCAGAAAAUGUUCUCUGCUUAUUUGUUGGUAUUACUGAUUUAUCUGUUUGGUUCACCCACAUCCAACCCAUGGCCAUAAGAACAGUGUUAGAUCUGGCAUCAAUGACAUUAUUGUGUCUGCCUCACAUACAGAACAUUAAACACAUUUCAAAGCUGUCCUACACAAGCUACAGGAGGCUGGUUGCAUCUGAACAAAGACAAAUGGCAUGAUUCUGCCGUCCAUUAUGCUCCAACUCCCAGUGGCUCUACGUCCCUCAGGUCCUUCCUUGGCCUGACCCUGCGGUACACCAAGUUUAUUCCAAACUACGAAACCAUCACAGAACCAGUGAGAUGUCUGCUCUGUGAGCCUAUGUUCAUAUGGAUUGCUGAUGCACAGAACAGUUUCUAGCCUGGAGCUGAGAACAGUACUGCAGUCUACCCUGUGAGGAUGGCGGCCAGGGUCAUGGAACCUGAGACUGCUGCUUUUUCCUGUUGCCUGCCAUUUCCACGUCUGACUCGACAGAUCCCUGCUGCUCGUGCCCUGAGCUAAGUAAACUACGCACCUACAUCACAAAUGAGUGGCCUGCUACAGCCAAAUCACUGCCUACAGACAUGAUGCCGUACUACCGGAUUAAAGAUGAACUGUCAAUGCAUGAGUCACUAAUGCUGCUGCUACAGUGUUCAGCCAUACAGGAAAUCAAAUAACUAUUGUGGCAGACAACAGUCUACAGCUGAUCUCUGUCAUCUUUGCAGAGAGAUACAGCACAUUCGUACAGCUGUAUAUCAUCCCAGAAAGAAAUGCAGUGGUGGGGAGAUUCAACAGUGUUCACAGAGUGCAUUUUUGCUGUAUAGAGAGAAAACGCUCCAUGGGAAGCUCAUGUUCCUCCAGAUCUACAGGGCAACAUCACGUGACUACAUCACAGUUCAAACUUCUGUAUGGACUUAAGAUGAGAACCAAAGUCGCCAUUGAGCCGAAGAUCCCAGUCGCUGAAGACAACGAGCUGCGAGACAGAGCUGAAAAGAAACAACUGAAUAUGAAAACACACAUUGAUCAAAAGAGACGUGUAAACCCACCCAAUAUCUGCUCAGCAUGUCUUGUACGUGUGAGGAGACCCGAGCUCGUGAGAAAAGGAAAAUCAAAGUUCGGCGAGUCUCUUUGAGUGACACAUCAGACGGGACCAUACAGUUCCACACUGAGUGAUGGAAAGACUCGGGAUGCUGCCCACCUGUCUGUGCUGCCAGUGAGGCCCCCUCCUGUGGCUGAAGAACAACAAGCAGUGGAGCCUGAAUCAAGUACCACUGCAAGAGCUGAGAGCCAGCGCAGCAGGAGGGAGCCUGCCUGGCUCAAGGACUUGGCUACAGCUUGUCAGGCUGGUUUCUGUCGGGCCCUAAAGACAUUGGUCUCAGGCAGGCUCAGGCCUCAUUUGUUUCCCGGUGCAGACCUCUACUUCUUCAUAUACAGUGUUGGCCAGUUUUGAUGAUUUUAUUUGAAGCAUGCAUGUGUUGGUAUAGAAUAUUAUACCUCAAAUGUAUGUAUUCUGACAUUCCCUGUUCACUUUUUUUUUUACUCUGUUUUCUCUGGACAUUUUCACACUUAUCCCCACCUUAAAGUUCAAAA